GUGACAUGAUGAAGCAGUUUAUCCAUUCUCUGAGUGCUGCAGCCUUUUCAGAGACCCUGGCUCGGCUCUCGUUCUGGGGGCGGAGUUACUCUGUGGCUAUCCUGGUGUUGUUUCGGCGUUCUGCCGAGCUCAGACCAGGAUUUUGACGGAGACGGGCUCUACUGGCUGCUGCCAAGACGACUUUUCUGCUCUGAUCACAUGUUACCGAGACGACUUGGAGUUAACCAGGUUUUAU
Molecule: small nucleolar RNA, 235 nt
Organism: Cololabis saira (Pacific saury)
Lineage: Eukaryota; Metazoa; Chordata; Actinopteri; Beloniformes; Belonidae
Product: small nucleolar RNA SNORD17
Exons: 1
Source: RefSeq, a predicted model, not a curated record